This 623-nucleotide long non-coding RNA is filed under the name Falco tinnunculus (common kestrel). RNAcentral describes it as "lncRNA (ENSFTIG00000010761.1)". Lineage: Eukaryota; Metazoa; Chordata; Aves; Falconiformes; Falconidae. The record is from RNAcentral.
AAGGGCGGGAGCGCGGGGGGCUGGGGCUGGGCCGGGGGCGGCCCACCGCACCUGGGCUCUGCUCAGGGGGAGGCCUCACCGUGCGCCCCGGGGGAUGCCCGAGGCGUGGCGUCUGGCCGGGCUGGGGAAGGGUUCGCGUCGGUGCGAGGGGGGAGGCCGCAGCGGGGCUGUUGAGGGGUGAGGGCAGGUGGCGCUGGGCGGGUGCUGGGCCGCAGGAGGGACGGGGACUGCGGUGUGCAGCAGCCGCUGCGUGUGCUGGGCGUGAGGCAGUGGCUGUUCGGGCAGCUGUGCUGGAGGGAGCGUACCCAGAGUUUUGCCAGAGAUCCUCAAGUUUGUUUCUUGUUGCGAUUGUAUUAUUAUUUCUAUUAUGGCCAGGCACCCUCCUUCUCUGAGGGAUGGGUCCCAGCCAGGAGGGACAUACGUCAGGCACCUGCCUGGACCAGAGCCCUCCCGCCUCCACUGGUGGCAUUGCGAGGCAGUUACUCUGCGAGCGCUCUCUACCUUUGGCACAGGCCCAGCGGCACAGUUCUGAGGAAUAUGCAGCUAUGGUGUGGAUCACGCGUGUCGCCGUGCACCUGGCAGUUCAUGUGAGAGCUGUGGGGAGUUUUGCACAGUUCUUCUGA